CCUACGGGCGGCAGCAGUGAGGAAUAUUGGUCAAUGGGCGCGAGCCUGAACCAGCCAAGUAGCGUGAAGGAUGACUGCCCUACGGGUUGUAAACUUCUUUUAUAAAGGAAUAAAGUGAGGCACGUGUGCCUUUUUGUAUGUACCUUAUGAAUAAGGAUCGGCUAACUCCGUGCCAGCAGCCGCGGUAAUACGGAGGGUGCGAGCGUUAAUCGGAAUUAUUGGGCGUAAAGCGGUCGUAGGCGGUAUGUCAAGUCAAGGGUGAAAUCCCCGCGCUCAACGUGGGAACUGCCUUUGAAACUGGCAGACUUGAGUGUGUGAGAGGAUAGUGGAAUUCCAGGUGUAGCGGUGAAAUGCGUAGAUAUCUCGAGGAACACCGAUGGCGAAGGCAGCUUUCUGGCGCGUAACUGACGCUGAGGAGCGAAAGCGUGGGUAGCAAACAGGAUUAGAUACCCUAGUAGUC
Molecule: ribosomal RNA, 460 nt
Filed under: uncultured bacterium
Lineage: Bacteria
Description: partial 16S ribosomal RNA
Rfam family: Bacterial small subunit ribosomal RNA
Source: RNAcentral